Molecule: ribosomal RNA, 433 nt
Filed under: uncultured bacterium
Lineage: Bacteria
Description: partial 16S ribosomal RNA
Rfam family: Bacterial small subunit ribosomal RNA
Source: RNAcentral
AACGAACGCUGGCGGCAUGCCUAAAAAAGGAAAGUAGAAAGAGACCUUCGGGUCUAGUGGCGCACGGGUGCGUAACGCGUGGGAACCUGCCCUUAGGUUCGGAAUAACUCCCCGAAAGGGGUGCUAAUACCGGAUAAUGUCUUCGGACCAAAGAUUUAUCGCCUUUGGAUGGGCCCGCGUUGGAUUAGCUAGUUGGUAGGGUAAAAGCCUACCAAGGCGACGAUCCAUAGCUGGUCUGAGAGGAUGAUCAGCCACACUGGGACUGAGACACGGCCCAGACUCCUACGGGAGGCAGCAGUGGAGAAUAUUGGACAAUGGGCGAAAGCCUGAUCCAGCAAUGCCGCGUGAGUGAUGAAGGCCUUAGGGUUGUAAAGCUCUUUUACCCGGGAUGAUAAUGACAGUACCGGGAGAAUAAGCUCCGGCUAACUCCGUG